GGGUUGUGAGGUUAAGCGACUAAGCGUACACGGUGGAUGCCCUGGCAGUCAGAGGCGAUGAAGGACGUGCUAAUCUGCGAUAAGCGUCGGUAAGGUGAUAUGAACCGUUAUAACCGGCGAUUUCCGAAUGGGGAAACCCAGUGUGAUUCGUCACACUAUCAUUAACUGAAUCCAUAGGUUAAUGAGGCGAACCGGGGGAACUGAAACAUCUAAGUACCCCGAGGAAAAGAAAUCAACCGAGAUUCCCCCAGUAGCGGCGAGCGAACGGGGAGCAGCCCAGAGCCUGAAUCAGUGUGUGUGUUAGUGGAAGCGUCUGGAAAGGCGUGCGAUACAGGGUGACAGCCCCGUACACAAAAAUGCACAUACUGUGAGCUCGAUGAGUAGGGCGGGACACGUGGUAUCCUGUCUGAAUAUGGGGGGACCAUCCUCCAAGGCUAAAUACUCCUGACUGACCGAUAGUGAACCAGUACCGUGAGGGAAAGGCGAAAAGAACCCCGGCGAGGGGAGUGAAAAAGAACCUGAAACCGUGUACGUACAAGCAGUGGGAGCACGCUUAGGCGUGUGACUGCGUACCUUUUGUAUAAUGGGUCAGCGACUUAUAUUCUGUAGCAAGGUUAACCGAAUAGGGGAGCCGAAGGGAAACCGAGUCUUAACUGGGCGUUAAGUUGCAGGGUAUAGACCCGAAACCCGGUGAUCUAGCCAUGGGCAGGUUGAAGGUUGGGUAACACUAACUGGAGGACCGAACCGACUAAUGUUGAAAAAUUAGCGGAUGACUUGUGGCUGGGGGUGAAAGGCCAAUCAAA
Molecule: ribosomal RNA, 803 nt
Filed under: Shigella flexneri
Lineage: Bacteria; Pseudomonadati; Pseudomonadota; Gammaproteobacteria; Enterobacterales; Enterobacteriaceae
Description: partial 23S ribosomal RNA
Rfam family: Bacterial large subunit ribosomal RNA
Source: RNAcentral